UGAACGCUGGCGGCAGGCCUAACACAUGCAAGUCGAGCGGAAACGACAACAUUGAAUCUUAGGAGGAUUUGUUGGGCGUCGAGCGGCGGACGGGUGAGUAAUGCCUAGGAAAUUGCCUUGAUGUGGGGGAUAACCAUUGGAAACGAUGGCUAAUACCGCAUAAUGCCUACGGGCCAAAGAGGGGGAUCUUCGGACCUCUCGCGUCAAGAUAUGCCUAGGUGGGAUUAGCUAGUUGGUGAGGUAAUGGCUCACCAAGGCGACGAUCCCUAGCUGGUCUGAGAGGAUGAUCAGCCACACUGGAACUGAGACACGGUCCAGACUCCUACGGGAGGCAGCAGUGGGGAAUAUUGCACAAUGGGCGAAAGCCUGAUGCAGCCAUGCCGCGUGUAUGAAGAAGGCCUUCGGGUUGUAAAGUACUUUCAGUUGUGAGGAAGGGGGUAACGUUAAUAGCGUUAUCUCUUGACGUUAGCAACAGAAGAAGCACCGGCUAACUCC
This 495-nucleotide ribosomal RNA is filed under the name uncultured bacterium. Its description in RNAcentral is "bacterial SSU rRNA". It matches the Rfam family "Bacterial small subunit ribosomal RNA", at positions 30 to 504 of the family's 1533-position model. The record is from RNAcentral.